Bombus terrestris (buff-tailed bumblebee) is the source of this 391-nucleotide long non-coding RNA. RefSeq lists it as uncharacterized. The transcript has 2 exons. Lineage: Eukaryota; Metazoa; Arthropoda; Insecta; Hymenoptera; Apidae. The record is from RefSeq and is a predicted model, not a curated record.
AUUUUUUAUAACUAGUCACAACUCAAUUUUUUAAUUGUUUUCUUUAGACUUUGGUAUAUAAGUGUUGAGACCUACUUAUAUGUUCGUGAGAUGAGCAUUCAAAUACUCUCGAUUUCCGUUUAUCUUAUUCAAAACUAUAAUGUCUUCGGAUCGCUUCUAUCAAUGAUGCCAUUAAUUCAAUUCUGUUUUGUGAUGACAAAAACGUCACCAAAAAAAUUCGCAUAAGCGAUCGGUAAAUUCAUCGUUAUAGAAAUAACCUCCCUCUCAACCAGUGUUUUGCCGAUCGCCAAUUGGAUUCUUCAAUGCUAUCAUUACUAGCUGUAGUUAAAUUCGUCAAAACUUAGUUUGUACUAACAUAAUCGACCGUAAAAUAAAUAUUAAAUACUAAUCA